This 2532-nucleotide long non-coding RNA is filed under the name Nicotiana tabacum (common tobacco). Its description in RNAcentral is "long non-coding RNA (NTAB_LNC010863)". The record is from RNAcentral. Lineage: Eukaryota; Viridiplantae; Streptophyta; Magnoliopsida; Solanales; Solanaceae.
AACUUUUAAGUCUCAUUUUGGGCUCUUUGUUUCUCUCUCUCUUUCUCUCUCUCUAUCAAACUCUUCGCUCAUUGUUUUUCUAGAAAUUUCUUUUGUUCCUAAAACAUAAAUUUCAUCUUUAAUUUGUGAAAUCUCAAAUAAAUGAAGCUUCAUUUCUGCCGUUAGGUUUCUCUAAAGUGGUGUUGCUUGACAUUUUAGUUCGAUUCAUGGAGUUCUUAACCAAGUAUUUGAAUACACAAGUUGGGUUUAGCUCACUCUAAAGAUCCAACUUUGCUUCAGAAAGGUAAUUGAUUAAUUUAAGUGUUUGCAUUUAUUUUUUUGGUUAUAAAUUGGUAAUUAUGAUUCUGUAGUUUCUGGGAUUCUAUAAUUUUUACAUAAGAUUCUAAAUUGGGGAUGUUAGAAUGCUUUAAAUAAACAAAUGAGCUUUAUAAUCAGAGUCAAAUGGUAGAGCGUGCAGUAAAAAAUGACAUCAACCGGCAACUUUGCCGCCAUAUCCAGUGGCUUCAGCAGAAAAGCCAUAGCUUUCUGCUCCUCUAUUGUAUGAAGUUUGUUGACACACAUAUUCUUGCAUACUUUAAACAAGUGUGUUUAAAGUACUCCUACCUUAUAGAAGCAUUAGAAAACCUUUCCACGAAGAUUAGGCAUAUAUUUUAAAUUUCUUUCUGUUUUUGUUGUGGCAAUUAAUUUUAGAGAUAAACCUAUCAAUCACUUAUUGUGUGUGCACUUGGAUCUCCAAUUUCUUUUAACUUUUGUAAACUAGCACUUUCUUGGUGCUUCCAGUAAUGAAUACACCUUACAUGCCUCAAAUAUAAAGCAUAUUGUCAAUUUUUUUACCAAUGCGAUGACUUUUUACAGAUAGUAUGAGCCUUUUAGCUUUUUUGUUAUGAACAAAAAAAUAUUAGUAGUCAAUCCUGAAUUGGAGUUAUUCGACUUAUCUUGAAUUAUGUGUGAGUUUAUGAUGUACCAAUUUCAGGUGCAACAAGUAUUAGUUGCUGGCGUUCUUUUCCUUUUUUUUUUGUAUAAAAAGUAGCUAAAAAGUGUUGAAUGGCAAAGGUUUAGUUGAGCAUGUUAUAUCUAACUUUAUUUUGCUUAUCUGAUGAUAUAUAUUUGAUCAACAAGACUUCUAGACAUAUGGUUCAGUUUUUACCUUCUUUAUUGGUUGUAGCAUUUUUGUGAAUUCCUUUUUUGAACAAAAGAUAAGGGCAUGAGGCCACUUCUUUUCAAUUAAUUUUGUGUUAGUUAAACGAAAUGUGAACAGUAAUCCUAAUUUUGAGUUGUUGGAUAAUUUUUCAAUUUUCCGGGCUUACAUGUAAGUUUUUUUAGGAGAAAGUUAUUUUGGUGAAGUGACGUUUAAACAAACAAUUGAGGUUAUUUAAAGAAGGGGCAAGAUUUGGAGUUCCAAAUGGAUUCUUUAAAAGUUAUAUUGCAAGAUAUUAAGGCUGACAUUUCAUUAAUCAAUGCAAGAAUAUGUGUUUCUUUCGAUCUUCGGAUGUUUGAAUGCUUUCAUGUGAUAUUUUUUAUAAUCUUGAGUGUUUGAGUUAAUAAUAUUAAUAUGUGAGAUAAUAAAGCCAAUGUGUUAAUUAGUUAAGCCCAUUUUGUAACAAUGAUGUGAGGUGACUUAUGUAAAGUUUAAUAUGAAUGUUGUUAUAUUUUAGGCACACUAAUAGAUCAACUAAUUGAUAACAUCGCACGUUAAGUUGCUUGAGAUUCUAUGGAUUGCUUGGGAGAAGAGUAUCAAGAUUAGAAUUACACAGGAACUUAUGCUACUUACCCAAAAAAAACAAUAUCACACAAUGCUAUUUUCGAGCCAAUUUGGUAUUAGUAUUUAAACAUUUUCUUUCUCUUGUUUUGCAUUCCUAUAUUGUACUAGCACUCUACUCUAAUCUUAUUCUUCUUUUGAUGGUUUGAAUGGAUUUUACCAGUCUUCAACUAUGAUCGAAGCAGUUCCCUGUUCAAGAUGAUAUUUAGUUUUUUUACCAUUUUGUAAUAGCGGUCUUUUUUGUAAAGGAACCUCCCUGCUUGGUUUCUGGGUGGAAAAGGUUACAUAUGCGUAAACACGAUUACAUAAGGAAGAGGACUUUGAGCCUAGCUUUCCUGAAACAAUAUACAGCCACCCAAUUCUUACAAAUCUAAGAUCAUGAAGGACUCCAUUUACAUUAGCUCUGUACAACCUUAUCAUUACUAAAUUAGACAUGUAUUCUUGUUAGUUUUCAAAAUUGGUAUAUCUUUUUUGCUGUUUACGCCCUAGAAGAUGAGAAUUGCAAGUAAUUUAUCCAUCCUUAACUAUCCUUUAGCCUCUUCAGGUAGCUCCCUCCAACUAUGUAUAAAUACCUCAUUUAGUACUGGUUCUCAGGGAGGCAGGAAGUUGACAAACUUUUCUUUCUUUUAUAUUCAUUAAUCUCAGGAGCACAGUGGCCAUGGUAAAAGAAAUUCAAAUGGCCAAUUGAAAUCAUAUUUACUUAUUCAAACUUUAUUUACCUCUCAAAGUUGUAUAUGCAUUUGAGUUGCAUGAUGCAUUUUACAAUUUCUGUG